RNAcentral lists this ribosomal RNA (372 nucleotides) under uncultured organism. RNAcentral describes it as "bacterial SSU rRNA". It matches the Rfam family "Bacterial small subunit ribosomal RNA", at positions 526 to 896 of the family's 1533-position model. The record is from RNAcentral.
CGUAGGAGGCGAGCGUUAUCCGGAUUCACUGGGCGUAAAGCGCGUGCAGGUGGCUCGGUAAGUUGGGCGUGAAAUCUCCCGGCUCAACUGGGAGAGGUCGUUCAAUACUACCGAGCUUGAGAGCAGAAGAGGAAGAUGGAAUUCCCGGUGUAGUGGUGAAAUGCGUAGAUAUCGGGAGGAACACCAGUGGCGAAGGCGAUCUUCUGGUCUGUUUCUGACACUCAGACGCGACAGCUAGGGUAGUAAACGGGAUUAGAGACCCCGGUAAUCCUAGCCGUAAACGAUGUGAACUUGGCGUUGGUGGGUUAAACUCCAUCAGUGCCGAAGCAAACGCGAUAAGUUCACCGCCUGGGGACUACGGCCGCAAGGUUA